RNAcentral lists this ribosomal RNA (373 nucleotides) under uncultured cyanobacterium. Its description in RNAcentral is "bacterial SSU rRNA". It matches the Rfam family "Bacterial small subunit ribosomal RNA", at positions 377 to 763 of the family's 1533-position model. Lineage: Bacteria; Bacillati; Cyanobacteriota. The record is from RNAcentral.
GAAAGCCUGACGGAGCAAUACCGCGUGAGGGAGGAAGGCUCUUGGGUCGUAAACCUCUUUUCUCAGGGAAGAACAAAAUGACGGUACCUGAGGAAUAAGCAUCGGCUAACCUCCGUGCCAGCAGCCGCGGUAAUACGGAGGAUGCAAGCGUUAUCCGGAAUGAUUGGGCGUAAAGCGUCCGCAGGUGGCAAUGUAAGUCUGCUGUUAAAGAGUCUAGCUCAACUAGAUAAGAGCAGUGGAAACUACAUAGCUAGAGUACGUUCGGGGCAGAGGGAAUUCCUGGUGUAGCGGUGAAAUGCGUAGAGAUCAGGAAGAACACCGGUGGCGAAGGCGCUCUGCUAGGCCGUAACUGACACUGAGGGACGAAAGCUAG